ACAGGGGGAUAACAGCUGGAAACGGCUGCUAAUACCGCAUAAGCGCACGAAGAGACAUCUCCUAGUGUGAAAAACUCCGGUGGUACAGGAUGGGCCCGCGUCUGAUUAGCUGGUUGGCAGGGUAACGGCCUACCAAGGCAACGAUCAGUAGCCGGUCUGAGAGGAUGAACGGCCACAUUGGAACUGAGACACGGUCCAAACUCCUACGGGAGGCAGCAGUGGGGAAUAUUGCACAAUGGGGGAAACCCUGAUGCAGCAACGCCGCGUGAGUGAAGAAGUAUUUCGGUAUGUAAAGCUCUAUCAGCAGGGAAGAUAAUGACGGUACCUGACUAAGAAGCUCCGGCUAAAUACGUGCCAGCAGCCGCGGUAAUACGUAUGGAGCAAGCGUUAUCCGGAUUUACUGGGUGUAAAGGGUGCGUAGGUGGCAGUGCAAGUCAGAUGUGAAAGGCCGGGGCUCAACCCCGGAGCUGCAUUUGAAACUGCAUAGCUGGAGUACAGGAGAGGCAGGCGGAAUUCCUAGUGCAGCGGUGAAAUGCGUAGAUAUUAGGAGGAACACCAGUGGCGAAGGCGGCCUGCUGGACUGUUACUGACACUGAGGCACGAAAGCGUGGGGAGCAAACAGGAUUAGAUGCCCUGGUAGUCCACGCCGUAAACGA
Molecule: ribosomal RNA, 656 nt
Filed under: uncultured bacterium
Lineage: Bacteria
Description: bacterial SSU rRNA
Rfam family: Bacterial small subunit ribosomal RNA
Source: RNAcentral